RNAcentral lists this ribosomal RNA (379 nucleotides) under uncultured eukaryote. RNAcentral describes it as "partial 18S ribosomal RNA". It matches the Rfam family "Eukaryotic small subunit ribosomal RNA", at positions 592 to 976 of the family's 1831-position model. The record is from RNAcentral.
CAAUAGCGUAUAUUAAAGUUGUUGCAGUUAAAAAGCUCGUAGUUGGAUUUGUGGCGUACGGUGUGUUCCGGGCACUUGUUGUCUGAGUAACCUGCUGUUGCCAUCCUUGGGUGGAACCUGUGUGGCAUUAGGUUGUCGUGCAGGGGGUGCCCAUCAUUUACUGUGAAAAAAUUAGAGUGUUCAAAGCAGGCUUAUGCCGUUGAAUAUAUUAGCAUGGAAUAAUGAGAUGGACUUUUUUGCUAUUUUGUUGGUUUGCGCAAAGAGGUAAUGAUUAAUAGGGACAGUUGGGGGUAUUCGUAUUCCAUUGUCAGAGGUGAAAUUCUUGGAUUUUUGGAAGACGAACUACUGCGAAAGCAUUUACCAAGGAUGUUUUCAUUAA